Molecule: ribosomal RNA, 566 nt
Filed under: uncultured Gammaproteobacteria bacterium
Lineage: Bacteria; Pseudomonadati; Pseudomonadota; Gammaproteobacteria
Description: bacterial SSU rRNA
Rfam family: Bacterial small subunit ribosomal RNA
Source: RNAcentral
AGAGUUUGAUCCUGGCUCAGAUUGAACGCUGGCGGCGUGCUUAACACAUGCAAGUCGAUCGGUAACAGGUGUAGCAAUACAUGCUGACGAGAGGCGGACGGGUGAGGAAUAUUUGGGAAUCUGCCCAUCAGCGGGGGACAACCCGGGGAAACCCGGGCUAAUACCGCAUACGCUCUACGGAGGAAAGCCGGGGACCGCAAGGCCUGGCACUGAUGGAUGAGCCCAAAUCGGAUUAGCUAGUUGGCGGGGUAACGGCCCACCAAGGCGACGAUCCGUAGCUGGUCUGAGAGGACGAUCAGCCACACCGGAACUGAGACACGGUCCGGACUCCUACGGGAGGCAGCAGUGGGGAAUAUUGGACAAUGGGGGAAACCCUGAUCCAGCGACGCCGCGUGGGUGAAGAAGGCCUGCGGGUUGUAAAGCCCUUUCGGUAGGGACGAAAGCUCUUGCUCUAACAAAGCAGGAGGUUGACUUAACCUACAUAAGAAGCACCGGCUAACUCUGUGCCAGCAGCCGCAGUAAUACAGAGGGUGCGAGCGUUAAUCGGAAUUACUGGGCGUAAAGCG